AUCCGGUUCAAAUUCCGGAACCUCUAUAAGUUUMGAGGGCAAGACGCAUGAGGUGAAACCCGGCCGGAGARCGGUAGUUCCGGUCGAAGCAGUUAGCUGAUGAGUGAAAUAGGUAAACCCGUUUCAUGAGGUAAGCUGUGACAGCGAGUGGAGAGAAAGUUGAAACGAAGCGGGUGUAAKCAAGGUGCCGGGAAAUACUGUSUAAGGCUAGGCUUGUAGAGACCGUACCGUAAACCGACACAGGUAGGUGGGAUGAGAAAUCUAAGGCGCUCGAGAGAACUCACGUUAAGGAACUCGGCAAAAUGCACACGUAACUUCGGAAGAAGUGGGCCCCUAUUGGUAAAAUUUUGG
RNAcentral lists this ribosomal RNA (351 nucleotides) under uncultured Treponema sp. RNAcentral's name for it is "partial 23S ribosomal RNA". Lineage: Bacteria; Pseudomonadati; Spirochaetota; Spirochaetia; Treponematales; Treponemataceae. The record is from RNAcentral.